AUGGCUUGACAGUAGUAGUAGUCAUUUUGUAAUUCACUGACCUUGUUAAAUGUUUUACAGAAAAUUAUCAGGAAGGCAGACAGAAGGUGAGAGAAGCUGAAGAGCGGUCUGAUCUUCAGUCAGAUGUAGAGGAAUGCAGUGGACGGAAAACAAGGCGCAAAAUGCCAAGUAGCCGACUUCUGCAUGCUGGUUACCUAACAGACAGUGAGGAUGAAUCAAGAUCUCAGCAGUGUGACAACGGCUUAGCCAGUGCUCCACCAGUCUGUCCACCCACAUAUCAAGCCCUUCAUCCUCCCAUGAUGUCUCACCAAAACGAGAUGAGACAUGACAGUUUGUCCUCCACUAGCCAAUGGAAUACUGACCAGGACCAGAGGAGCAGCUUGCAGUGGGGACCCCAGUUUGAGUAUCACCCUAAUCCAAGAACACAGCCCACACCAUCGUGGUCUGCAUUAGAAACUACAAACUCACUAAUGUGGGAAAUGCUGACAAAGCAAGAAAUGAUUCUCGACCAGCAGAAACACAUUCUCCAUCUGCUCCAAGCAAGACACCAAGACAUGUCUGAUACUCAGACAUGUCUGAAUGAUAAUCUUUUGCCCAUAAAAGACCGGGAAAGUCUGCAGAAUCUUGAAGUCCAACUACAGGACUCAGAUUUCAAAAUGAAACUGAUAAACCACCUGAGCCUUGUUGGGGGCUGUGAUGCCAAAGACACUGUUUGGUGCAUCAUGAAGCAAACCAUCGCAAACAGCCUGGCAAUGGAAAUCAAUUGGAGAGGCGUUAAUGGCAAAACAUCAAUGGUUUCCCUGCUAUUGAAGGCUGUUAUAAUUGCUGCUGUCAGAAAAAAUCCACUGUCAUCGACAGCCUCCCAACAUGACAUCGAGACAUGGAUUAAAAGAUGGUUGCAUCUGGCGGCUGACAGGGAAGGGGGAGGAAAAGGCGAGCCAGGAUGGCUGAUUAAGGUUGUGACUUAAGUCAUGUGUUAAUAGUUUAAAAAUAACAGAAUAAUAAAAUAAUAAAUAUAGAAAAAAAGACAAAUAAAAAACAUAAAAAACAUAAAUUGUUUCAUUGUUUUAGUAACAUUAAUAACAAUAAUAAUAAUAAUAAUAAUAAUGUAAUAGCAACGAUAAUAUAAUAAUAAUA
This is a long non-coding RNA of Acanthochromis polyacanthus (spiny chromis), 1137 nucleotides long. RefSeq lists it as uncharacterized. NCBI's taxonomy places the organism in Eukaryota, Metazoa, Chordata, Actinopteri, Pomacentridae. The record is from RefSeq and is a predicted model, not a curated record. The transcript is spliced from 6 exons.